Molecule: long non-coding RNA, 621 nt
Filed under: Danio rerio (zebrafish)
Lineage: Eukaryota; Metazoa; Chordata; Actinopteri; Cypriniformes; Danionidae
Description: lncRNA (ENSDARG00000117532.1)
Source: RNAcentral
UUACCAUACCUUUGAUAAGCAAUAAGUGAAGAAGAGAAUGAAUGAAAAUUGUUAGAAGGUUACUUUGUUUAUUUUAUUUUAUUUUAUUUUAUUAUUAUUUUUUUGUUUACGUGUUAUAACUUCUAAAAACAUUAAACUAUAAUGCCAGGGGUAAGCUGACAGUGCGGCAGGUACAGUAGGCUUACCUUUUAUUUUGAGACUGCAUUGCCGCUAUCCUGAUGCUCACGCUUUGAUGCCACACACGUGCUCCUCGCUAACUUAACUUACGUAAACAAACAUCAAUCCCGCGGGCGAGAAUUCGUAUUUGUGGAUGAUUGUGAGUUAGCAACGAUUAUAUUUCAGUAUGUUUAUACAACAAUAAACAUAUUUAAAAUAUGUUUAGAGCUUGACAUCUUGCAUUCCUCAUGUGCCAAACUUCAUGACUUGUUGAAACUACACGAGGAUUUCCAGGUUUAUCUGAUGUGCUGUGACAUAUACAGAAAAUCUCAUCGCGCUGCAGUUUUCAUCCAUCUCAGAAUGUGCUGCUGCUCUGAACGUAUCUUUGGGCUGUAGCGUUGUGACUGUGUUCCAAGAAAUCCAUUUACUCUUUUAAAGUCGACACUGAAGAGGCUUGUUCACGCU